AGAGUUAAACAGUACGUGAAAUUGUUGAAAGGGAAACGAUUGAAGUCAGUCGUGCUGGCGCGAAAUCAGCUCGACCACUUGGGGAUCACGGGCCGUAGCGAGCCUCAAAACCGUUACGACUUGUGAUUGCUUGGUGGCCUGGUGCACUUUCCGACCGGCAGGCCAGAAUCAGUUUCUGAUGCGGGAAAAAGGCCCUUGGAAGGUGGCCUCCUCGGAGGUGUUAUAGACUUGGGCUUCCAUACCGCGUCGGAGACUGAGGUUCGCAGCUCAUGCUCCUCUUUUGUUGGGGCGAACACACCUGGUGUCUGAUCGGGGCCGUGUGGCUGGCAGCUUGCUGACUGUCGCGCGGUCCAUUCCUGGUCACCGCGCUAGAGUCGUGAUUCCCUUGAGCUUGGGAUUCUGGCUUAAUGGUUUCAAACGACC
RNAcentral lists this ribosomal RNA (423 nucleotides) under uncultured fungus. RNAcentral describes it as "eukaryotic LSU rRNA". The record is from RNAcentral. Lineage: Eukaryota; Fungi.